Molecule: ribosomal RNA, 281 nt
Filed under: uncultured bacterium
Lineage: Bacteria
Description: partial 16S ribosomal RNA
Rfam family: Bacterial small subunit ribosomal RNA
Source: RNAcentral
ACUCCUACGGGAGGCAGCAGUGGGAAUAUUGGACAAUGGGGCAACCCGUGAUCCAGCAAUGCCGCGUGUGUGAAGAAGGCCUUCGGGUUGUAAAGCACUUUUAUCAGGAAAGAAAUCCAGUUGGUUAAUACCCGGCUGGGAUGACGGACCUGAGGAAUAAGCACCGGCUAACUUCGUGCCAGCAGCCGCGGUAAUACGAAGGGUGCAAGCGUUAAUCGGAAUUACUGGGCGUAAAGGGUGCGUAGGCGGCCUGUUAAGUCAGAUGUGAAAGCCCUGGGCUC